GACUCCGUCGUCCUCAUGGGGAAGAACACCAUGAUGAAGCGCUCAGUCAGGAUGCACGCUGAGAAAACCGGAAACAAUGCCUAUCUCAACCUUAUCCCGCUCCUUGUUGUGAGUUUCACUCUUUCUAAAUCUGUUUUAUUAGCGAGUAUUAAAAAAAUGUUUUAAUUACUGAAUUUUGAGAGAAUGUGUUUUUGGUUGAAUCAGGGCAAUGUGGGAUUGAUUUUCACCAAAGGUGACCUGAAGGAGGUCAGUGAGGAGGUUGCCAAGUACAAGGUAAAUUGAUAUAUGCAUACUUUUCGAUUUGUUUAUAUUAUUGCUAUUUAACUGAUUGUUUUACUAACUAUUUGAUGAUGUUAGUCGUUUACCUUUGUUGCCUUGCCUGUAUUAUUGUUAAUUUGAAUCAUAAAAAGCCGUACUUUACCUUGUUUUUCUGUGAUGACUUUUUGGUUAAGUUUUGGGGACAGAUGCUAGGAAUGUAUCUCUCGAGCAUUUUAGUUGUUUAUUGUUAUUGUUAUAUUGUGCUCUGAUUUACUUAGUGAUUGCAAUUCUUGUUUACUUUUUUUCCAUGUUAUGACUUAUGUUUUGCUCUACCCGAAUAUAUUAGGCCGAGUUAUUAAGAUUGUGACAGUUGUUCGUUAUGUUUUGUGGGUUUGAUGCAAUACAAUAGCUAGCUUUUUUCCUACUUUGCAACUAUGUUAUUUGUGUAUAUCAUUUGCUUUAAUUUAUUGUUCAUCAAAACAUUUGUGUUUUAUCUGAACAGGUUGGAGCUCCUGCUCGUGUUGGUUUGGUUGCCCCAAUUGAUGUUGUUGUUCCUCCUGGCAACACAGGGCUCGAUCCCUCCCAGACCUCUUUCUUCCAGGUUGGUAAUCUUCUGUUUGUAGAAUUUGGGGGUGGUUGAUUUGUUUUGGUUUUUAAAAACUAUUAAUAUUUUAAAUAUUACGUUGAGUAGAAGUGGGGAAAGAAAAAACAUUAGUAACGGAACCAAAACAAAUUUACAGAUUUUUUAUAAGAGUUCUGUUUUUAAAAUCAAGGAAAAACAGGUCAAGAUUAUUUUGUUUUCAUGUCAUGUUUAUGCUUAGUUUCUGUAUUUCAGGUGCUCAACAUUCCUACCAAGAUUAACAAGGGUACUGUUGAAAUCAUUACCCCUGUGGAGCUCAUUAAGAAGGGAGACAAGGUUGGAUCUUCUGAAGCUGCAUUGCUUGCCAAGCUAGGGAUAAGGCCCUUCUCGUAUGGGCUUGUGGUUCUUUCUGUUUAUGAUAAUGGUUCAGUGUUCAGCCCUGAGGUUCUUGAUCUUACUGAGGAUGACCUUAUUGAGAAGUUU
This 1321-nucleotide long non-coding RNA is filed under the name Glycine max (soybean). Its description in RNAcentral is "long non-coding RNA (GMAX_LNC003123)". Lineage: Eukaryota; Viridiplantae; Streptophyta; Magnoliopsida; Fabales; Fabaceae. The record is from RNAcentral.